Long non-coding RNA from Neogale vison (American mink), 314 nucleotides. RefSeq lists it as uncharacterized. The transcript is spliced from 3 exons. Lineage: Eukaryota; Metazoa; Chordata; Mammalia; Carnivora; Mustelidae. The record is from RefSeq and is a predicted model, not a curated record.
AUGAAAUGCGGUAGAUUUUGCGACAUUUGUCUUGGAACCAUGGUCUGAAACAUUCAGAGAAUUAUGGAAAGCCGGGAAUUUCCCCUCUCUGAACAGUGUUGAUUCCUCAGUGACCAUAAAUGACUUUGAAAGGAAGAGUAAUCCUCACCAACUAGGACGGGGAAAUCUCCAAUGGACACUUUGCACAGUGAAGAUUAGGAAUGGCUGGCACGGUUGGCUGCAGUGAAAUAAGACAGAGCUGCACAAGCUGCACAGGAAACAAAAGUCUGCAUUUCUGGAGACACCGUGGAAACUGGUCAGAGAGCUUUAACUCA